UACGUAGGGUGCGAACGUUAAUCGGAAUUACUGGGCGUAAAGCGUGCGCAGGCGGUUUUGUAAGCCAGAUGUGAAAUCCCCGGGCUCAACCUGGGAAUGGCAUUUGGGACUGCAAGGCUGGAGUGCGGCAGAGGAGACUGGAAUUCCUGGUGUAGCAGUGAAAUGCGUAGAUAUCAGGAGGAAUACCGAUGGCGAAGGCAGGUCUCUGGGCUGACACUGACGCUCAUGCACGAAAGCGUGGGGAGCAAACAGG
Molecule: ribosomal RNA, 253 nt
Filed under: uncultured bacterium
Lineage: Bacteria
Description: partial 16S ribosomal RNA
Rfam family: Bacterial small subunit ribosomal RNA
Source: RNAcentral